RNAcentral lists this ribosomal RNA (169 nucleotides) under uncultured Beijerinckiaceae bacterium. Its description in RNAcentral is "partial 16S ribosomal RNA". It matches the Rfam family "Bacterial small subunit ribosomal RNA", at positions 338 to 524 of the family's 1533-position model. Lineage: Bacteria; Pseudomonadati; Pseudomonadota; Alphaproteobacteria; Hyphomicrobiales; Beijerinckiaceae. The record is from RNAcentral.
CCUACGGGAGGCAGCAGUGGGGAAUAUUGGACAAUGGGCGCAAGCCUGAUCCAGCCAUGCCGCGUGAGUGAUGACGGCCUUAGGGUUGUAAAGCUCUUUUACCCGGGAAGAUAAUGACUGUACCGGGAGAAUAAGCCCCGGCUAACUUCGUGCCAGCAGCCGCGGUAAU